RNAcentral lists this ribosomal RNA (490 nucleotides) under uncultured bacterium. RNAcentral describes it as "partial 16S ribosomal RNA". It matches the Rfam family "Bacterial small subunit ribosomal RNA", at positions 29 to 507 of the family's 1533-position model. The record is from RNAcentral.
AGUGAACGCUGGCGGUAGGCCUAACACAUGCAAGUCGAACGGCAGCACAGGAGAGCUUGCUCUCUGGGUGGCGAGUGGCGGACGGGUGAGGAAUACAUCGGAAUCUGCCCAGUCGUGGGGGAUAACGUAGGGAAACUUACGCUAAUACCGCAUACGACCUUCGGGUGAAAGAGGGGGAUCGCAAGACCUCUCGCGAUUGGAUGAGCCGAUGUCGGAUUAGCUAGUUGGCGGGGUAAUGGCCCACCAAGGCGACGAUCCGUAGCUGGUCUGAGAGGAUGAUCAGCCACACUGGAACUGAGACACGGUCCAGACUCCUACGGGAGGCAGCAGUGGGGAAUAUUGGACAAUGGGCGCAAGCCUGAUCCAGCCAUACCGCGUGGGUGAAGAAGGCCUUCGGGUUGUAAAGCCCUUUUGUUGGGAAAGAAAUCUUUCAGGCUAAUACCCUGGGAGGAUGACGGUACCCAAAGAAUAAGCGCCGGCUAACUUCGUG